RNAcentral lists this unclassified non-coding RNA (816 nucleotides) under Hevea brasiliensis (rubber tree). Lineage: Eukaryota; Viridiplantae; Streptophyta; Magnoliopsida; Malpighiales; Euphorbiaceae. The record is from RNAcentral.
GAGGAUUCAUGCCAUAAACAGUGCAAAAAAAAAGUAUAAUCAUAAAGUACAGUAAAAUAUAAUUCUGUGAUCAUAUUUAGAGAGAGAAAUAGGAUUUUUUUUCCCAUUAUUCUUUCCACAUGUCUGGUUGGUUCAGAGUGGAAGAAAUAUGCAAAUCUUUCUUUAUUCUUGUAAAAAACCUAAAUUGAGCAGGAUGGAAAGGAUCUGUGUAACCAACUACUUUUGAGGCUGGGCUGAGUUGAGUUGAGUUGUUAUAUAAUAAGGGCUUAGUACUCUAUUAUUGCUUCGGUAUAAGGAGCAAUGCUUUGUUAAUGUUCAUGUUGUGUUAGAUUUUGUAGAAUCUCUAUAAUGUAUUUGAUUUUCUUGGUAUUAUGUUCAUUGUUUGCACUCCAUUGGUACUCCUUAAUUAUUUUUCAUCAGUCAUUAGAAACAAGAAAAUUGCAUAAAGCAUGGGGGCUGGCUAAGUUUCUUGAGGGUGAAAAACUCUUCAUUGUGCUACUGUUUGCCCUUGGUCUCUUCUAUGUUUUCCCUGUGCUUUCUAUGCUUUGGUAUGAGAGCAAGUCCUAUUAUUUUGUUGCACUAUAAGAAAAGAUAGUAUCUUUAAACGUCUAUGUUCUGAUGGAAAAAAAACAAUGGAGGCAAGUAGCACAUAUAUCAAACCAGGGUUUAAUUUUGAUUUCAAUAUGUUUGAACUUCCAAGACACUGUCAAGACUCUAAAUUCUUUGGUUGCAGAAUACCAUUUCUUGGCCUAAUUUUGUUCUGCUUAUAAGAUUGCAGAGCUAGAUUUGGAAAUGCACCCCUUGGAAAAAGAGAAA